RNAcentral lists this RNase P RNA (270 nucleotides) under Pneumocystis murina B123. Its description in RNAcentral is "Nuclear RNase P". It matches the Rfam family "Nuclear RNase P". From Rfam's summary of the family: Ribonuclease P (RNase P) is a ubiquitous endoribonuclease, found in archaea, bacteria and eukarya as well as chloroplasts and mitochondria. Its best characterised activity is the generation of mature 5'-ends of tRNAs by cleaving the 5'-leader elements of precursor-tRNAs. The record is from Rfam by way of RNAcentral. Lineage: Eukaryota; Fungi; Ascomycota; Pneumocystomycetes; Pneumocystales; Pneumocystaceae.
GCACUCUUUAACGCUGCACUUCUUCGUGAACAUACGAUGUUUUAAAAAAACAUAAAAACGAAGGGUUAAGGUCGGAGAAUCAUCCUCAGUUGUUGCUCGUGAUGAGCUUAGCGCUAGUAUGUGCUUACAACUGCAUUAGAAAGAUACGGCUUAAGUUUUAUAUAGCCUUGAGAGGUCAGUUGUGAGGAUUAGACGUGUUAAUGUCUUUAAGUGCAAUGUGCAGCACCCCUAUUUUGGAGACAACUCAAUUCCGACUAGUCUUUAGAGUGC